GUCACUGUUAUGUAACCUAGGAACAAGAUACCAUUACUAUGUAUGCAGUCUGGGAGCUGAAUAUCAAGCUCUAGACCUACCUGUGAACAUUCAAACACUCAUUUCCAAACUGACAAAAAUGAUAUCUGCCUCUGAUGUUGCUCAAUUCGUUGACAGUUAUUGCCAUAUUCUCACUGUAUUGUGACAAUAAAUAAAAUAUAUAGUUGUGAUUCUCAAAAGUUUCUUUAAACUAUUCUUAGGCCAUAAUGUUUACAGGGAAAAAUUACAUGAAAAAAUACACUCAUAAAUGUUUGAAAAAUCUUGCACCAUAUACAACUUUAUAAAUUUGUCUUGUAAUAUUUAGGUUAUGUUUUAACUUCCUUAUUUUUUCCAGGGUGGGAGAACGAAUGUUCUCUGAAGAAAUCUGUAUGAUAUAGACUAGUGAAGGUAACUGGCCUGAACUACAGCUCUAGAGUCAUUUGGUUUCACCUUCAGGGAGCUAGGUGCUGGGACUAUGGAAACAAAUCUUUCAUUUCUAUGGGCCAUGGACUCAUAAUUAAUUUUGAGACAGCUUUUUCUUAAAGCGGGAUUUCAGUUGUAAUGCUGCCAUCAUAGUUCACAGGAGAGAAAUUCUUCAACUUUCUCUGGAGUCAGACUACAUGUAAUGAAGUUAUUCCCGAGGUGAUUAGUCAUUACAAAUUCAAGUUAUGAUAUGCUUUGGCUGUGUCCCCUCUCAAAUCGCAUCUUGAAUUUUAGUUCCCAUAAUCCCCACAUGUCAUGGGAGGAACCCAGUGGGAGGUAAUUUAAUCACAGGGGCGGUUACCCUCAUGCUGUUUUUGUGACAGUGAGUAAGUUCUCACGAGAUUUGAUGGUUAAGUGUUUUUCCCCCUUUGCUCAGCACUUCUCCUUGCUGCUGCCGUUUGAAGAAGGACGUGUUUGCUUCCCCUUCCACCAUGAUGAUGCUAAUGCCAGGGUGACCUCAGAAACCAGAAGACGAUGAUGUCACUGUCUCCAUCAGCCUGGAUGUCUGAAUAAAGGAGUGGAGCAGGGACUUCCUCCACCCCCA
Molecule: long non-coding RNA, 1045 nt
Filed under: Papio anubis (olive baboon)
Lineage: Eukaryota; Metazoa; Chordata; Mammalia; Primates; Cercopithecidae
Description: lncRNA (ENSPANG00000046502.1)
Source: RNAcentral